Molecule: ribosomal RNA, 253 nt
Filed under: uncultured bacterium
Lineage: Bacteria
Description: partial 16S ribosomal RNA
Rfam family: Bacterial small subunit ribosomal RNA
Source: RNAcentral
UACGUAGGGUGCAAGCGUUGUCCGGAUUUAUUGGGCGUAAAGAGCGUGUAGGCGGCCGGAUAGGUCCGUUGUGAAAACUGGAGGCUUAACCUCCAGCGGUCGAUGGAAACCAUCUGGCUAGAGUCCGGAAGAGGAGAGUGGAAUUCCUGGUGUAGCGGUGAAAUGCGCAGAUAUCAGGAAGAACACCCGUGGCGAAGGCGGCUCUCUGGGACGGUACUGACGCUGAGACGCGAAAGCGUGGGGAGCGAACAGG